AACUAACAAGGAUUCCCCUAGUAACGGCGAGUGAAGCGGGAUGAGCUCAAAUUUGAAAGCUGGCACCUUCGGUGUCCGCAUUGUAAUCUCGAGAAGUAGUUUCUGUGUUGGCCCAUGUACAAGUUCCUUGGAAUAGGACAUCAGAGAGGGUGAGAAUCCCGUACUUGACAUGGAUCCCAAUGCUUUGUGAUCUGCUCUCUAUGAGUCGAGUUGUUUGGGAAUGCAGCUCAAAAUGGGUGGUAAAUUCCAUCUAAAGCUAAAUAUUGGGGAGAGACCGAUAGCGAACAAGUACCGUGAGGGAAAGAUGAAAAGCACUUUGGAAAGAGAGUUAAACAGUACGUGAAAUUGUCAAAAGGGAAGCGCUUGAGGUUAGCUAUGCAUGCAGUAUUCAUCCUCUCUUUUGAUUGGUGUAUUUGCUGUUUUGCAGGCCAGCAUCGGUUUUGUCUGCUGGAUAAUAGUAGAAGAAAUGUGGCAUCUUCGGAUGUGUUAUAGUCUCUUACUUGAUACAGUGGAUGGGACCGAGGACCGCAGUGUGCCGUAUGGCGGCUCUUCGGAGACCUUCGCACUUAGGAUGCUGGCGUAAUGGCCUUAAGCGGCCCGUCUUGAAACACGGACCA
This 617-nucleotide ribosomal RNA is filed under the name Tilletia ehrhartae. RNAcentral describes it as "LSU rRNA". It matches the Rfam family "Eukaryotic large subunit ribosomal RNA", at positions 63 to 668 of the family's 3401-position model. Lineage: Eukaryota; Fungi; Basidiomycota; Exobasidiomycetes; Tilletiales; Tilletiaceae. The record is from RNAcentral.